This 500-nucleotide ribosomal RNA is filed under the name uncultured Duganella clone GPMT3. Its description in RNAcentral is "bacterial SSU rRNA". It matches the Rfam family "Bacterial small subunit ribosomal RNA", at positions 30 to 523 of the family's 1533-position model. The record is from RNAcentral. Lineage: Bacteria; Pseudomonadati; Pseudomonadota; Betaproteobacteria; Burkholderiales; Oxalobacteraceae.
AUUGAACGCUGGCGGCAUGCCUUACACAUGCAAGUCGAACGGCAGCGCGGGGCAACCUGGCGGCGAGUGGCGAACGGGUGAGUAAUAUAUCGGAACGUACCCUGGAGUGGGGGAUAACGUAGCGAAAGUUACGCUAAUACCGCAUACGAUCUAAGGAUGAAAGUGGGGGAUUCGCAAGAACCUCAUGCUCCUGGAGCGGCCGAUAUCUGAUUAGCUAGUUGGUAGGGUAAAAGCCUACCAAGGCAUCGAUCAGUAGCUGGUCUGAGAGGACGACCAGCCACACUGGAACUGAGACACGGUCCAGACUCCUACGGGAGGCAGCAGUGGGGAAUUUUGGACAAUGGGCGCAAGCCUGAUCCAGCAAUGCCGCGUGAGUGAAGAAGGCCUUCGGGUUGUAAAGCUCUUUUGUCAGGGAAGAAACGGUGUUUUCUAAUACAGAACGCUAAUGACGGUACCUGAAGAAUAAGCACCGGCUAACUACGUGCCAGCAGCCGCGGUAA